GCGCACGGGUGAGUAACACGUAUGCAAUCCACCUGUAACAGGGGGAUAACCCGGAGAAAUCCGGACUAAUACCCCAUGAUAUGGGCGCUCCGCAUGGAGGGCCCAUUAAAGAGAGCAAUCUUGGUUACAGACGAGCAUGCGCUCCAUUAGCCAGUUGGCGGGGUAACGGCCCACCAAGGCGACGAUGGAUAGGGGUUCUGAGAGGAAGGUCCCCCACAUUGGAACUGAGACACGGUCCAAACUCCUACGGGAGGCAGCAGUGAGGAAUAUUGGUCAAUGGUCGGCAGACUGAACCAGCCAAGUCGCGUGAGGGAAGACGGCCCUACGGGUUGUAAACCUCUUUUGUCGGAGAGUAAAGUACGCUACGUGUAGCGUAUUGCAAGUAUCCGAAGAAAAAGCAUCGGCUAACUCCGUGCCAGCAGCCGCGGUAAUACGGAGGAUGCGAGCGUUAUCCGGAUUUAUUGGGUUUAAAGGGUGCGUAGGCGGCACGCCAAGUCAGCGGUGAAAUUUUCGGGCUCAACCCGGACUGUGCCGUUGAAACUGGCGAGCUAGAGUGCACAAGAGGCAGGCGGAAUGCGUGGUGUAACGGUGAAAUGCAUAGAUA
Molecule: ribosomal RNA, 604 nt
Filed under: uncultured Bacteroidales bacterium
Lineage: Bacteria; Pseudomonadati; Bacteroidota; Bacteroidia; Bacteroidales
Description: bacterial SSU rRNA
Rfam family: Bacterial small subunit ribosomal RNA
Source: RNAcentral